Molecule: long non-coding RNA, 908 nt
Filed under: Bos taurus (domestic cattle)
Lineage: Eukaryota; Metazoa; Chordata; Mammalia; Artiodactyla; Bovidae
Description: long non-coding RNA NONBTAT025126
Source: RNAcentral
UUUUAAUCCCAAUCGAGUGAGCCAUGGAAUUGAGUGAGAUGAGAUAGGAAUAGUUCUUAUACAAUUAAGGAAUGGGUGGCAACAGGAGGAUGUAUAUUUUGACUUGUAAAAAAAUCUUAAAUGCAUGAGACUUUUUUCUGCUAGUCAUUUGCACUCUCCUUCCCAUCUGUAAUUCCUUUGUGUGCUAACAUGAAAAGUAACCAAGAGAACUAGCUCCUUUCUCCAAAAGUCUUCAAAAUAGUAAAACUCCUAAAACCUAUGUUAAAGAUAAAAACCUGUUUCUUUUCCCUUGCUAUUGAAGUCUGAGUAGGAACAAAAUUAUUAGAAAGACAAGUAAGGGUUUUCAAAAAGCUUAGAGAAGCUAAAAUUGAACCUGGUUCCUUGUGACUCAUGGAACCAACCCUCAGACUUCCCGGGAACCCAGAAACUAACAAGCUUUUGAAUCUUGGAAAUUUGUCAUUGACCUGAUACUUCUAUGGAUAUAAUAUCAAUAGUGCUUUAAAUUUAUCUCUGUUUCAAAUUUCAAAAAUACUUAGUUGUUAUCUCAAAUUCACUCUGAGGACUCCCUAGUACAGGGCAAGUUACACACUAAAAGAUGAAAAAUGCAUGCUCUAAAUAAAUGGAGUAGCCCCAAAGGACUACCUGCAUGGAAAAUGAACGUCUCUGUGGAACAUUCAUUAUGCCAAAGAAGAUUCACACUUUGUUCUUUAGAGAGCUUUCUGCAGUUGAUACCUUUUGUCUGCAGAAGCAAGUUGUCUUUGUAAAAUGGAUUCACUCCCUGCUUGAAGCUUCCCAGUCCAGACUGUCAGACAAUAGAUGUAUUGAGCUGAAGUACACUGCUUCCCUGCUGUGCAGACCUUUACUCUGGCAUAAAGACUCUUGAAAAUAUCCUAUUCAAAGGUUUACAU